CAUCGCUGGGUAGGCCCCUCGUGUAUCGUCGUGGACAAGGUGCUUGUCAUAAUGGUACGCUUUGGCCUAGACAGAGCGACAAGAAAGAAAUAGCGGUAGCAUGUGCGCAUGCGUAAAAUUCGCCAUCCCGCGACAUUCGAGCGCGAGCGCGGUACGGGAACUGAGUGAACUGUAGCAGCACCCGUUGCCGCUGCCCACAGUUGAAGAGGACAUGUCUUCAGUUGACCGCGUGCUCACCCUCUUCGGAUACAAGCUGGACCGCAAGCUAGGAGACUUCAAGGCGCGCAUGCGCGAAGGAAGGGGGUCGACGAAUACCGGCGCCAAUCCAUGGAGUCCAACCACCGUGGUUCUGGAUACGUUUCGUCGUCGAAAGUGCGGUUUCGGACGCUUGGGGAAAUGGUGCGAGAACAAGCAGCGACGGCAAUGCGCUACGUCCAGGGACUAAAUUCUAUGCCACUGGAUUCGACUAGCUUAACGACUCGCUACAGUUGGCUCUACGAGUGGUUACGGUUGGAGGACUGCUACACCGCUACCUGUCUUCGCUCCCGUCGCUCGCGCGAGAUAUCUAUUGAAAUAUAAUACAUUUCGCAAGUC
This is a long non-coding RNA of Ornithodoros turicata, 594 nucleotides long. RefSeq lists it as uncharacterized. The record is from RefSeq and is a predicted model, not a curated record. The transcript has 2 exons. Lineage: Eukaryota; Metazoa; Arthropoda; Arachnida; Ixodida; Argasidae.